GGUAGCUCAAUGGCAGAGCAUCUGCUCUGCAUGCAGAGGAUCCCAGGUUCAAUCCCUGGCAUCUCCA
RNAcentral lists this transfer RNA (67 nucleotides) under Podarcis lilfordi (Lilford's wall lizard). RNAcentral describes it as "tRNA.Ala". It matches the Rfam family "tRNA". Rfam says of the family: Transfer RNA (tRNA) molecules are approximately 80 nucleotides in length. Lineage: Eukaryota; Metazoa; Chordata; Lepidosauria; Squamata; Lacertidae. The record is from RNAcentral.